GGGGAUUUAGCUCAGUGGUAGGGCACUUGCCUAGCAAGCACAAGGCCCUGGGUUCGGUCCCCAGCUCCG
This 69-nucleotide transfer RNA is filed under the name Rattus norvegicus (Norway rat). It matches the Rfam family "tRNA". Rfam says of the family: Transfer RNA (tRNA) molecules are approximately 80 nucleotides in length. Lineage: Eukaryota; Metazoa; Chordata; Mammalia; Rodentia; Muridae. The record is from Rfam by way of RNAcentral.